GCCCAUUCAAAAGGAGGGUGAGGAGGCGGAUUAUAGAGGUGUUUUGCACCGUGACGGCUCUGUUCUCAUGUCAGUUUCCUUGGAUCAAUUAAAGAUGCCAGAACUUCUUUACAAGUCCCUUGCAGCAAAGCUUGUUGUUGGCAUGCCAUUUAAGGAUCUAGCAACGGUGGAUUCAAUCUUACUACGAGAACUUCCUUCAGUAGAUGAUGCUGAUGCUCGUCUAGCCCUCAAAAGGCUGAUAGACAUAAGUAUGGGCAUUAUAACACCUUUAUCAGAGCAACUUACAAAGCCCUUGCCUAAUGCCAUGGUUCUGGUCAAUCUCAAGGAGUUGUCCUCUGG
RNAcentral lists this unclassified non-coding RNA (339 nucleotides) under Hevea brasiliensis (rubber tree). The record is from RNAcentral. Lineage: Eukaryota; Viridiplantae; Streptophyta; Magnoliopsida; Malpighiales; Euphorbiaceae.